This 270-nucleotide ribosomal RNA is filed under the name uncultured prokaryote. RNAcentral describes it as "partial 16S ribosomal RNA". It matches the Rfam family "Bacterial small subunit ribosomal RNA", at positions 524 to 792 of the family's 1533-position model. The record is from RNAcentral.
UACGUAGGGUGCAAGCGUUGUCCGGAAUUACUGGGCGUAAAGAGCCCGUAGGUGGUUUGUCGCGUCGUCUGUGAAAUCCCGGGGCUUAACUUCGGGCGUGCAGGCGAUACGGGCAUAACUUGAGUGCUGUAGGGGAGACUGGAAUUCCUGGUGUAGCGGUGAAAUGCGCAGAUAUCAGGAGGAACACCGAUGGCGAAGGCAGGUCUCUAGGCAGUUACUGACGCUGAGGAGCGAAAGCAUGGGUAGCGAACAGGAUUAGAUACCCGGGUA